Pongo pygmaeus (Bornean orangutan) is the source of this 1794-nucleotide long non-coding RNA. RefSeq lists it as uncharacterized. Lineage: Eukaryota; Metazoa; Chordata; Mammalia; Primates; Hominidae. The record is from RefSeq and is a predicted model, not a curated record. The transcript has 2 exons.
AUCCCAAAUUCACAGCCGCCUUCUUUCGCCCGGUUCUCGGGAUCGCACUUUUCCCUCUUGGGACGAUGCCGCCUCCUCAACCUUGAAAGACCCCUCACAGGCCCCUUCCGAGACCCUCAGAGUCCCUAAAAGGGCUGCUGACACGCCCGCUGUUCUUAGCGGACAGUGAUUGGCCACCUGAAAGAUAGCGCCAGCCUCCUGCCCCUUCUCCCGACCCUGGCCUUCCGCAGUCCUUGUUUCCCAUUAGCCUGCCGGCCCGCCUGUCCGGUGCUGACCUGGUCUGAUUGGUAGGGUGCCUCCAACCUGCCGCAUUCCUGCCCCGCCCACCUCUAGCUCUAUUUCAAUUGGAUUUAGGACACGCCCAUCUACUAUGCCUUCAUCUGUAUUGGCUAUUUCAACUUAAAGCUCUGCCUCCUCAGACCUGUUCGACCUUCCUUCGGAACCACCCCGGCCUCAGAACUCCCAUUGGUUGCUGGGUCCUCUGUGUCUUCUUGCCCCUCCUGCUUGAUUUAACCCAGUCUCUUCUGCCUCCCUCCGACAACCUUUUUCCCAUCUGUAGCCUUAAAUUCCCGAGCUGCCCGGGCGGAUCGUAGUGUUGAUUGGAGGGAUGAGAAUACCCGCCGGGUCCGAUUGGCCACUGUCUCCGCCUGCGUUCUCGGAGUAGCUUCCCUGCGGGUGGGCUGGAGUCCCGCGGCCGGCGUAGGGCACGGCCCGGCAGGGCGGUGGGAACUUCCCCCGGGCUGCUCUUAUUGCGGCUUGGGAUGAUCCUGGCGGAACACAGGACCCCAACUCCCAAACCUGCGGACCUUGACCACGGACUAGCCCUGUCCCGGCUCCCCACGUGCCCCAGGGGGACCAGGGCAGGCAGGACGCCUUCCAAGAAUUCAAGGGCCGCUGGAUGCCUACGCUUCGUCCCCUUAUUUCCUGAACAACCGUUAGGGGCCGGGGUACCCCUCAGGGAGGCCACAGUCCGGGGCUGGGGCGCUCAUUGAGGUAGUGAUCACACGGAAGUUUAAUAACCAACUUGAUAAGUGCUCUGAGAGAAAAAUAACAGUGAGAGCGGCCACCUGAGGUUCUCCCCCAAUCUGCAGUGAGCCGAGAUCAGAACAGGUAAUUCCGUAAAUGAGAGAGAGAAGCAAAGCGUUACAGGCAGAAGAGUCUACUUGAAAUCUCUGAGGAAGGAGGAAGCAUGAUGGGAAUGGGGAACUGGAAUUCUUUAAUGCUCCGAUGACUGUCUAAGUGGGGGAUCACCCGGCAUUGACAGACUAGGAAGCUUAAGUGAGUCACUCGCCUGAGGUCACAUGGUUAGUUUGAUGCAGAGAAGACUCGAAAACCAGUUAAAGAACAGUCAGUGGGGCCCGGCCUUGUAGCUCACACCUGUAAUACCACCACUUUGGGAGGCCGCGGCGGACGGAUCGCCUGAGCCCAGGAGUUCAAGACCAGUCUGGGCAACAUGGAGAAACCCCGUCUCUACAAAAAAUAGAAAAAUUGGCCGGGCGCUGUGGCUCACGCCUGUAAUCCCAAAACUUGGGGAGGCCAAGGCGGGCGGAUCACGAGAUCAAGAGAUCGAGACCAUCCUGGCCAACAUGGUGAAACCCCGUCUCUACUAAAAAUACGAAAAUUAGCUGGGCAUGGUGGUGCGUGCCUGUAGUCCCAGCUACUCAGGAGGCUGAGGCAGGAGAAUCGGUUGAACCCGGGAGGCGGAGGUUGCAGUGAGCCGAGAUCGCGCCACUGCACUCCAGCCUGGCGACAGAGCGAGACUCCGUCUCAUAAAUAAAUACAUAAAUAAAUAAA